RNAcentral lists this ribosomal RNA (407 nucleotides) under uncultured bacterium. Its description in RNAcentral is "partial 16S ribosomal RNA". It matches the Rfam family "Bacterial small subunit ribosomal RNA", at positions 30 to 526 of the family's 1533-position model. The record is from RNAcentral.
AUUGAACGCUGGCGGCAGGCCUAACACAUGCAAGUCGAGCGGAGCGGCGGACGGGUGAGUAAUGCCUAGGCAUCUGCCUGGUAGUGGGGGAUAACGUCCGGCAACGGGCGCUAAUACCGCAUACUAUCAGAUGAGCCUCGGUCGGAUUAGCUAGUUGGUGGGGUAAAGGCUUACCAAGGCGACGAUCCGUAACUUGUCUGAGAGGAUUAUCAGUCACACUGGAACUGAGACACGGUCCAGACUCCUACGGGAGGCAGCAGGGGGGAAUAUUGGACAAUGGGCGAAAGCCUGAUCGAGCCAUGCCGCGUGUGGGAAGAAGGGCGUCGGAUUGUAAAACACUGUAAGUUGGGAGGCGUUACCAACAGAAUAAGCACCGGCUAACUUCGUGACAGCAGCCGCGGUAAUAC